Molecule: ribosomal RNA, 253 nt
Filed under: uncultured bacterium
Lineage: Bacteria
Description: partial 16S ribosomal RNA
Rfam family: Bacterial small subunit ribosomal RNA
Source: RNAcentral
UACGGGGGGGGCAAGCGUUGUUCGGAAUUACUGGGCGUAAAGGGCUCGUAGGCGGCCAACUAAGUCGGAUGUGAAAUCCCCAGGCUCAACUUGGGAACUGCAUCCGAUACUGGAUGGCUUGAAUUCGGGAGAGGGAUGCAGAAUUCCAGGUGUAGCGGUGAAAUGCGUAGAUAUCUGGAGGAAUACCGGUGGCGAAGGCGGCAUCCUGGGCCGAUACUGACACUGAGGAGCGAAAGCGUGGGGAGCGAACAGG